CCGUGUCCGUAUGCGUGUCCGUGCUUCAUAGAUUAUAUUCGACAUGGCCUAGGGAAAUCAUUCUGAACUGAAAAACACUAGCUAUACUUCAAAUAAUUUGGGAAAUGGCUUCCAUUUGAUGGCCCAUUCACCAUGAUUACUUUCCUUCUAUUACUUAAUUUUUUUUAAUCGAUAAUCCCAGAAGAUGAAAUCAAAUAAUGCUUUAGGACCCAAUGAUAUUCCUAUUGAAACUUGGAAGUGCUUGGGUAAAAGGGGGAUUGCUUGGUUGACUAAGUUGUUUAGCAAAAUGAGCUCUUUUUUUUGCUAAGGUGUGGAUAUAGAUAUGAUAUUUUCACUCAACGUCUUUGUUUUUGUUUUUUUUGUUUUCGGAUUUAUGUUACUGGGUCAAACUUUGUCUUGUGUGCAGGUCUAUGUGGUCUAUAUGGGAAGCGGAGAUGGUCAUGUUUUCACACUUUCUUUUUAUUUAUUUUUAUUUUUUUAUGGUUUGAUGUUAUUGUUGUGUUCCUCUUCUUGUUCUUAUUGAGGAUUGUUUGGUUGUGCUGAUUGAAUCAUUCAAUUGGUGACACAGUGUUGAACAAGCCAGGGCAUCUCAUGUCUACAGUUACAGACAUGGUUUCAGAGGCUUUACAGCCAAGUUGAUAGAGGACCAAGCUUUUGAAAUUGCCAAGAUGCCUGGAGUGGUGUCGGUGUUUCCAAACAACCGUAGGAGGCUUCACACGACUCAUUCAUGGGAUUUCAUGGGUCUUUUGGGAGAAGAAACCAUGGAAAUCCCUGGGUAUUCCACCAAGAACCAAGUUAAUGUCGUUAUCGGCUUCAUUGAUAUCGGUUAGUUGUCUUUCCCUUUCUAUCGAGAACAAUUGGUUUCAUUGAUUAGUAUCACUGUAUGUAUAUGCACAAAUUAGACAAUGUUCAUUUAUUAGUUCAUUAUGGAGACAUGACCUCUAGGCUCUUCCUAGGAUUAGGAGUAGAAAACAAACAGACUAUCUGUGCUCAUUGAAUACAACACUUGCUCAUUCUUUAAUGAGUACCCAUUAUCAUUUUCUUCGAUGCUCUGUUUGUUUGAAGUCACAAGUAUGUGAGCUAACAAUGCCCUUCCUCACUCUUCAUUAUGAUUUCGAACUAAAAUGAGACUUUUCAUUAUGAUUUUAGAAAUUAUAGGUUCAUUUUGUUUAAUCAAAAAACACUCAUCAUUCUAGUCCACUUUUCUUUUUAAUCCUCUCUUUGUCACUGUUUUUGCUAACAAAGGCGUGCCGGUCUCUCUUGCCACUGUUAAGAUUGUAGUAGAGUUUUUUUUCACACACACAACUCUCAAAUUGUUGUGAAACAUAUUGAUUUGCAACAUAUCUCUCUCACACUCUAUGAAAUUGCAAUUAAUUUUAAGCACUGCUCAAAGUAGGAAUUUGGCCUGAAUCCCCAAGUUUCAGUGAUGCUCACAUGCCUCCAUCGGCUAUUUAUUCGGAGCUCUUGUUGAAGUUUAGAGAUUGCUAACAUUGUCUAAGAAUAGGGAGAUACAUGAUGUAGAGAAUGCAAACUAGAAAGUGAAAGUUUGGAAUUUGUAAAGGUUUUAGUGCCUAUGGGCCUCAUCCGAUCAAAUUUUUGGUCAAUUUGGGUCUCAUUUUAUGUCCUUUACAAGUUAUUUGAUGCUAGUUUGGUUUUAUUUAUGUGUUAUCCGGCUUUAGGGUAUGUAUUAACAAUAUUUUUUUAUUUUUUAUUUUUUUUUAUUUUUUUUUUUUAUACUUCUUGUGUUAUUAAACUUAUUUUUAAUUUUUGAGUCUUUUCCGAUGUUUAAUUCAAUGCUUUAUGUUAUCAUCUUGUCAAUGCUAUACGUUUUGUUGGUGAGCUGCAUCCUGACAAGAACAGUGACAACAAGAAGCAUGUGCUUUACACAUAAAAACAUUAUUGUAAAAUACAAGGAUCAGGUCCUUUGCUUAUGAAUCAUUUGAUUUUUUGGUUGAGAAUUGUAAAUUCAAUUUUUGGAUAUGUUAUUUUGUGAGUAAUGUUAAAACAUCAUUUGUGAAUAUGUUA
Molecule: non-coding RNA, 2025 nt
Organism: Camellia sinensis
Lineage: Eukaryota; Viridiplantae; Streptophyta; Magnoliopsida; Ericales; Theaceae
Source: RefSeq, a predicted model, not a curated record